Molecule: transfer RNA, 69 nt
Filed under: Marmota monax (woodchuck)
Lineage: Eukaryota; Metazoa; Chordata; Mammalia; Rodentia; Sciuridae
Description: tRNA.Ala
Source: RNAcentral
GGUUUUGUAGCUCAGUGGUAGAGUGCUUGCCUAGCCUACAUGAAGCACUGGGUUUGAUUCUCAGCACCA